RNAcentral lists this ribosomal RNA (853 nucleotides) under Fusarium detonianum. RNAcentral's name for it is "LSU rRNA". It matches the Rfam family "Eukaryotic large subunit ribosomal RNA", at positions 24 to 909 of the family's 3401-position model. Lineage: Eukaryota; Fungi; Ascomycota; Sordariomycetes; Hypocreales; Nectriaceae. The record is from RNAcentral.
CCCGCUGAACUAAGCAUAUCAAUAAGCGGAGGAAAAGAAACCAACAGGGAUUGCCCUAGUAACGGCGAGUGAAGCGGCAACAGCUCAAAUUGAAAUCUGGCUCUCGGGCCCGAGUUGUAAUUUGUAGAGGAUACUUUUGAUGCGGUGCCUUCCGAGUUCCCUGGAACGGGACGCCAUAGAGGGUGAGAGCCCCGUCUGGUUGGAUGCCAAAUCUCUGUAAAGUUCCUUCGACGAGUCGAGUAGUUUGGGAAUGCUGCUCUAAAUGGGAGGUAUAUGUCUUCUAAAGCUAAAUACCGGCCAGAGACCGAUAGCGCACAAGUAGAGUGAUCGAAAGAUGAAAAGCACUUUGAAAAGAGAGUUAAAAAGUACGUGAAAUUGUUGAAAGGGAAGCGUUUAUGACCAGACUUGGGCUUGGUUGAUCAUCUGGGGUUCUCCCCAGUGCACUUUUCCAGUCCAGGCCAGCAUCAGUUUUCCCCGGGGGAUAAAGACUUCGGGAAUGUGGCUCUCUUCGGGGAGUGUUAUAGCCCGUUGUGUAAUACCCUGGGGGGGACUGAGGUUCGCGCAUCUGCAAGGAUGCUGGCGUAAUGGUCAUCAACGACCCGUCUUGAAACACGGACCAAGGAGUCGUCUUCGUAUGCGAGUGUUCGGGUGUCAAACCCCUACGCGUAAUGAAAGUGAACGCAGGUGAGAGCUUCGGCGCAUCAUCGACCGAUCCUGAUGUUCUCGGAUGGAUUUGAGUAAGAGCAUACGGGGCCGGACCCGAAAGAAGGUGAACUAUGCCUGUAUAGGGUGAAGCCAGAGGAAACUCUGGUGGAGGCUCGCAGCGGUUCCCCCGGGCAUACCCCUCGCAAAA